UGCAGGGACACCCUCCUGCACCUCUCCGUGCGUCGUGUCACUCCUGGAGCCUGGUCCCUGUCACUGGGGGGAUGCUGAGGAGCCUCCCCAGCCCCCCCAUUCCUGUGGUGUCACCCCCCAAGCCAGAUGCUGGCUGGUGUCACCACUGGGAUUCAGCCUCACUCAGUCCCC
Long non-coding RNA from Pyrgilauda ruficollis (rufous-necked snowfinch), 171 nucleotides. RefSeq lists it as uncharacterized. The transcript has 2 exons. Lineage: Eukaryota; Metazoa; Chordata; Aves; Passeriformes; Passeridae. The record is from RefSeq and is a predicted model, not a curated record.